AUGCUUAACACAUGCAAGUCGAACGGUAACAGAGAGUAGCUUGCUACUUUGCUGACGAGCGGCGGACGGGUGAGUAACGCGUGGGUAAUCUGCCCUUGGGUCUGGAACAACGCUGGGAAACUAGUGCUAAUUCCGGAUAAGACUACGACGACCUAGGUCGAUGUAGAAAAAGGUGGCCUCUCCUUGGAAGCUAUCGCCCGGGGAUGAGCCCGCGUUCCAUUAGCUUGUUGGUGGGGUAAAAGCCUACCAAGGCACCGAUGGAUGGCUGGUCUGAGAGGAUGAUCAGCCACACUGGGACUGAGACACGGCCCAGACUCCUACGGGAGGCAGCAGUCGGGAAUUUUGUCCAAUGGGGGAAACCCUGAGACAGCAACGCCGCGUGAGGGAUGAAGGCCUUCGGGUCGUAAACCUCUGUCGGGAGGGAAGAAUACUUCAUUGCGAAUAGUUUUGAAGUUUGACGGUACCUCCAAAGGAAGCUCCGGCUAACUCCGUGCCAGCAGCCGCGGUAAUACGGAGGGGGCAAGCGUUGUUCGGAAUCAUUGGGCGUAAAGCGGAUGCAGGCGGUGAAGUAAGUCGGAUGUGAAAUCCCAGGGCCCAACCCUGGAACUGCAUUCGAAACUGCUCCACUAGAGUCCCGGAGAGGAAGGCGGAAUUCCCGGUGUAGAGGUGAUAUUCGUAGAUAUCGGAAGGAACACCAGUGG
Molecule: ribosomal RNA, 701 nt
Filed under: uncultured bacterium
Lineage: Bacteria
Description: bacterial SSU rRNA
Rfam family: Bacterial small subunit ribosomal RNA
Source: RNAcentral